GACGAACGCUGGCGGCGGGCUUAACACAUGCAAGUCGAACGGAAAGGCCCUGCUUGCGUGCGGUGCUCGAGUGGCGACGGGGUGCGGAAGACGUGCGUAUACUGCCCCUGCCUUUGGGCUAACUUUAGGAAACUGAGGCUAAUACCGGAUAGGAGCUCCUGCUGCAUGGUGGGGGCUGGAAAGUUUCGGCGGUUGGGGAUGGACUCGCGGCUUAUCAGCUUGUUGGUGGGGUGGUGGCUUACCAAGGCUUUGACGGGUAGCCGGCCUGAGAGGGUGACCGGCAACAUGGCGACUGUGAUACGGCCCAGAGUCCUGCGGGAGGCAGCAGUGGGGAAUAUUGCACGAUGGGCGGAAGCCGGAUGCAGCAACGCCGCGUGAGGGGUUGCGGCCUGCUGGUAGGAGACCGCUUUGGCGUGUGACUGAGCGUGUGUGAAGGUAAUGGGUAAAGAAGAACCGGCUAACUACGUG
This 468-nucleotide ribosomal RNA is filed under the name uncultured bacterium. Its description in RNAcentral is "partial 16S ribosomal RNA". It matches the Rfam family "Bacterial small subunit ribosomal RNA", at positions 28 to 507 of the family's 1533-position model. The record is from RNAcentral.